GACGAACGCUGGCGGCGUGCUUAACACAUGCAAGUCGAACGGAAAGGCCCUGCUUUUGUGGGGUGCUCGAGUGGCGAACGGGUGAGUAACACGUGAGUAACCUGCCCUUGACUUUGGGAUAACUUCAGGAAACUGGGGCUAAUACCGGAUAGGAGCUCCUGCUGCAUGGUGGGGGUUGGAAAGUUUCGGCGGUUGGGGAUGGACUCGCGGCUUAUCAGCUUGUUGGUGGGGUAGUGGCUUACCAAGGCUUUGACGGGUAGCCGGCCUGAGAGGGUGACCGGCCACAUGGGGACUGAGAUACGGCCCAGACUCCUACGGGAGGCAGCAGUGGGGAAUAUUGCACAAUGGGCGGAAGCCUGAUGAAGCAACGCCGCGUGCGGGAUGACGGCCUUCGGGUUGUAAACCGCUUUCGCCUGUGACGAAGCGUGAGUGACGGUAAUGGGUAAAGAAGCACCGGCUAACUACGUG
RNAcentral lists this ribosomal RNA (468 nucleotides) under uncultured bacterium. RNAcentral describes it as "partial 16S ribosomal RNA". It matches the Rfam family "Bacterial small subunit ribosomal RNA", at positions 28 to 507 of the family's 1533-position model. The record is from RNAcentral.